RNAcentral lists this ribosomal RNA (425 nucleotides) under uncultured eukaryote. RNAcentral's name for it is "bacterial SSU rRNA". It matches the Rfam family "Eukaryotic small subunit ribosomal RNA", at positions 592 to 1017 of the family's 1831-position model. The record is from RNAcentral.
CAAUAGUGUAUGCUAACAUUGUUGCAGUUAAAAAGCUCGUAGUCGAAUUUUUAAGGGAAUCAAUUUUAUGUGGUCUCAAAGAACUACAAAAAAGAUGAUUUAUCUUAUUUUAUGCUUGUUCAUCGUUGGAAUUCGUUUUCUGAUGGUGAUGUGAGUUUGUGUUUACUUUGAGAAAAUUAGAGUGUUCAAAACAGUCUUAUGGCUUUAUAUUAAAGCAUGGAAUGAUACAUAAUGACAUUGGUUAAUUUUUGUUGGUUUCAGUGGCUGAUGUAAUGAUUUAUAGAGUCAGUCGGAGGUAUUAGUAUUUUGUCGUUAGAAGUGAAAUUCUGGGAUCGACAAAAGACUAACAACUGCAAAAGCAUUUGCCUAGAAUUUGCUCCUUGAUCAAGAACGUAAGUUGGGGGAUCGAAGACGAUCAGAUACCA